GCGUGAAUGGCGGAAUGGUAGACGCAGUGGACUCAAAAUCCACCGGUUAGUAGCCGUGCGGGUUCAAGUCCCGCUUCGCGCACCA
Molecule: transfer RNA, 85 nt
Filed under: bacterium
Lineage: Bacteria
Description: tRNA-Leu
Rfam family: tRNA
About the family: Transfer RNA (tRNA) molecules are approximately 80 nucleotides in length. Their secondary structure includes four short double-helical elements and three loops (D, anti-codon, and T loops). Further hydrogen bonds mediate the characteristic L-shaped molecular structure. tRNAs have two regions of fundamental functional importance: the anti-codon, which is responsible for specific mRNA codon recognition, and the 3' end, to which the tRNAs corresponding amino acid is attached (by aminoacyl-tRNA synthetases). tRNAs cope with the degeneracy of the genetic code in two manners: having more than one tRNA (with a specific anti-codon) for a particular amino acid; and 'wobble' base-pairing, i.e. permitting non-standard base-pairing at the 3rd anti-codon position.
Source: RNAcentral